Molecule: ribosomal RNA, 288 nt
Filed under: uncultured Pelotomaculum sp.
Lineage: Bacteria; Bacillati; Bacillota; Clostridia; Eubacteriales; Desulfotomaculaceae
Description: partial 16S ribosomal RNA
Rfam family: Bacterial small subunit ribosomal RNA
Source: RNAcentral
GAGCGCAACCCCUACGUUAGUUGCUAACGCGUGAAGGCGAGCACUCUAGACGAACUGCCGUUGACAAAACGGAGGAAGGUGGGGAUGACGUCAAAUCAUCAUGCCCCUUAUGUUCUGGGCUACACACGUGCUACAAUGGCCGGUACAGACGGACGCAAAGCCGCGAGGUGGAGCAAAUCCUAAAAAGCCGGCCUCAGUUCGGAUUGCAGGCUGCAAUUCGCCUGCAUGAAGUCGGAAUCGCUAGUAAUCGCAGGUCAGCAUACUGCGGUGAAUACGUUCCCGGGCCUU